CAUAGGUGGCGAACGUUAUCCGGAAUUAUUGGGCGUAAAGGAUGCGUAGAUGGUAGAAUAAGUUAUUGGUCGAUGCCAAACUCAAUUUGGCGGAAGCUGGUAAUACUGUUCAACUAGAGGGCAGGAGAGGUUGAUGGAAUUCUGGUGUGGAGCGGUGAAAUGCGUUGAUCUGCAGAGAAACACCAAAAAAGGUGAAGGCAGUCAACUAUUCUCGUUCCUGACAUUGAGGCAUGAAAGCGUGGGGAGCAAACCGGAUUAGAUACCCGGGUAGUCCACGCCCUAAACGAUGAGCAUUAGAUAUUAGGCAUUUGCUUAGUGUCGCAGCUAACGCUUUAAAUGCUCCGCCUGGGUACUACGGUCGCAAGGCUA
RNAcentral lists this ribosomal RNA (369 nucleotides) under uncultured organism. RNAcentral's name for it is "bacterial SSU rRNA". It matches the Rfam family "Bacterial small subunit ribosomal RNA", at positions 526 to 896 of the family's 1533-position model. The record is from RNAcentral.